GUGUUCGCUUCAGCAGCACAUAUACUAAAAUUGGAACGAUACAAAGAAGAUUAGCAUGGCCCCUGCGCAAGGAUGACACGAAAAUUUGUGAAGCGUUCCAUAUUUUU
This 107-nucleotide small nuclear RNA is filed under the name Myotis davidii. The record is from RNAcentral. Lineage: Eukaryota; Metazoa; Chordata; Mammalia; Chiroptera; Vespertilionidae.